CAAUUUCUGGAUUUUACCAUCUAUGACAAGGCUGUCCAACCUGCGGCCCCCCAGAUGUUGCUGAAAUACAACUCCCAUGAUUCCCUGCCUGUUUAAUUGAAAGAAUCAUGGGAGUUGUAGUUCAGCAACAUCUGGGGGGCCGCAGGUUGGACAGCCCUGAUCUAUAAGAAAGUAAACAAUUUG
Non-coding RNA from Pelobates cultripes (western spadefoot toad), 183 nucleotides. The record is from the annotation of a GenBank genome assembly. NCBI's taxonomy places the organism in Eukaryota, Metazoa, Chordata, Amphibia, Anura, Pelobatidae.